AGCUGGAGUCUCACCUCCUGCAGGCCACCAAGCACAGUGUGUCACCAUGACCAUGGACAAGGACCCCCACAUCCAGGCACUGCACAAGACCUUGGCGGAGAACCUGGAUAUAAUGCUGAGGAGCCUGCUGGCAGCAUCCCACAACACAGAGUAGCUCCAGCACAUCUUAGAGAUGAUCAUGGUGGGGAUGGGCCAGGGAAUUCUGCUAACCCCGUUCGGGGCUGCAAAGGAGAGACUGGAAGAUCCAUGUUUCCAUCGUGUCCCCCUAGCUGGAAUUCCAUGGGGCCACCUUGGCCAGGACACUCUGCCAUGCAAUGCUGUCCUCCUUCUGGGAAUAGCGGGAAGGAGCUGGGCCUUCAAGCCUGGCUCUGCAGUGCCUCCUUUUGGCUAGAUUUGGUGUAGCCAUUCACAGUAUACCAGGCUGGCUCGGGGAGCAAGAGCCUCAACCCUAGUGAGACCCAGGGGAUGGUCCUGAGAGAAGAGUCACUGGCUUCUCCCUAAGAAGACCCUGAGAUACAGGAAAGUCCUCGGGGAAUCGGCCUUUCUCUCCCAGGGACAUUGUCCUCACCACCACUUACUCUGUCCCUCUGAGGGCUUCAGAGCAGGGAGGGUGUCAGGGGUCUGACUUCUGCCUGAUGAGCUGUUCAUGAGUCAGGGGAGCAAAGAGGGUGGGACCAGCCCCAAGACCAAAUAUUGUCCCAAUCUACUGUGACUGGCAAGUCGCAGGCAGUGUCCUGGGUGCAGCAAAUCCCUUCUAAAGCUCUGAGAUCAGUGAGUCGGCCAAUUCCACCAAGCACAAAGUCUUCAGCUGCUGGAGGUCUCAUUUGUACAGCAUGUGGGCCCUUUCACCAUGGCCUGCCUCCUCCUCUCACAGCACAUCGGCUUCUGCAUCCACUCCAGAGUCACCCAGAAGAGAGCCAGGGCUCUAAAGACCAGCACUGCCCUGCUAUGAUAUGCCAGCCACCUCCCAGGAUUUGACCCAAGUGACCUUUGACCCUGAGUGUAGGCAGGGCUGGCUCUGGCAAGGCUGUGGGAUCUAGGGGCUCUGGGCUGGGGUGCAGUCAGAGCUGGCAAUCAGAUGAUCAGUUGGCAAGUUCUUCUUCUCCUGGCGAAGUGGUGCUCCCUGGGUCUGUAGGCAACUGUUCCACAGCUGCUCCAGCCUGAUUGUGCCUGGCCUUGGUUCGUUCUUCUUAUCCUGGAGCAGCUGGGGGUGUGAGUUCUCAUGCAGGGCCCUGCCCUAGUCCCUCUGCUCCAGGCUCUAUUUGGGGCAGAGGGAAUUAGGGCUCUGGGAAGGGCGAGACUCCUGGCCUGGGAGAGACUGGGAGCUGAAGGUGAAACGCUAAUGGAUUCACCCGCCUCUUCCUUCUACUAGAACUCCUCCAAGUUCCCCCACACAAUUAACCCUUUACUUUUGGUGAUCCAGCUGCAAGCUGCUGAGACUGAAAUCAAAGACUUGCAGUCAGCGUUUGAGCUGGAGAAGAUUGAUUAUCUCACCACUGUUCGCUGAAGGCAUGGGACUGCUUCCUCUUUCAGCAGCUUCUGGAUCAGGUGCAGCCCCUCAUGCCACGUGACAGUAACUAUAGCAACCUAGACAAGAUCAGACACGAGUCAGUCUGGAAUGAGGACAGCGGCUGCUGAAAACUCCUGGAGCCCGUCAUUCAAAAAACCAGCCCCCCUGCAGCAGUUCCAUCACUGCCACAGACUAAGCCAGCCAGGAAGAGCUCCUCAGGCGAGAACGGAGAGCUGAUGAUGCAGGAAGAGGACCGCUACAAACUGAUGCUGAGCAGGAGUGACAGUGAGAAUAUUACCAGUAACUAUUUCCGGUCCAAGCGAGCCAGCCCGAUCCUCGGUGCUGAUCCUACAGAGUCUUCAUAAAUAUCUGACGCUCCUCCUUUCCUUUUGUCCAUUUGCCUGUAUCUCCUCCAGUAGGGUGCCAUUCCAUCUGUCAAGGUCAGCACCUCUCAGACCCACUUGAGAAGGUUGAAUGAUAUGAAAGACACAAACAGCCGACUGAUGCGCUGAAACCUGUUUCUCCAGCCCUAUGCAUUCCAAGUUCCGGAUAGGGAAGGCAAAGCUCCCCAGAACACUGACUUUGCUCCCCCGCAUUCCCUGGAGAAAAUGUGAUGGCCCCAGCUCUACUAGCUCCAUCUUGGGGGGAGGGUGUGUGAUUGCGUGCACAAACCCCACACUGAGCAACAAGGAGCUAAGGAAAUACUCUGGCCUAGCCAGCCCCACCACAUCCUUGGCAAAUGCACCAAGUGGAGGAGGGGGUAAAAGGCAGGGGAGCAGCUCAUUUUGUAGCAGACCAGGAAGGAGAGCAGACAUGCUACUGGCAGCUCCAGGAGAGACGAGCUGAGAGAAGUCAGAAACUCCCCCUAAACAACUGCCAAAAGGUCCCUCCCUGAGGAAAGGGAAGGCCUGCUGCAGGGACAGCCUGAGAGAGAAGCACUCCCCUCGCCCUGUCAUAUGAACUCUGGACUUGAUUGAUCCCCUUUAUUUGCUGUUUGGACUACCCCAAUAGAGGAAAGUCCUUGGACUGAGCUGGCCCCAGGAGACUGGGCCAUACCCCAGGAGGAGGCAGUUGCCACCCGAGAGGAAAAGAGAAUGACCUCACUACAUGCAGCCGCCAGACGGUGCCGUGGGGUGAACAGACAACCCUCACGCUGCUUUACCCCAGACAGUGACCUUGGGACAGUUGCAGGGAGGUGGUAGGAAGUGGCCUUAAGCAUCCUGAGCUGUCAGAGUCCUGAUAGCCAUGGGUGCUCCGGGGCUCACGCACUCAUGGAUAAAAAUACGGGGUGCUCAGCAUGCACAGCCACACUGGUUCAGGCCUGGGCUGGCUGCCAGCAGACCGGCUAGCCGGAGGCGCUCGGGGGAGGGGUGGAGCAGGGGUAAGAAGAGGCGGAGCAAGGG
This is a long non-coding RNA of Chelonia mydas (Green sea turtle), 2913 nucleotides long. RefSeq lists it as uncharacterized. The record is from RefSeq and is a predicted model, not a curated record. The transcript has 4 exons. Lineage: Eukaryota; Metazoa; Chordata; Testudines; Cheloniidae.